GAACGCCAUUGCCAAGGGAAAAAGUCACAAAUUUGUGUUUUUUCAUCGUGAACUUCACGUGGAUGGAAGUUUUAACCCUUCAAUAAUUUCCCUUUAUCAAUAAUUUUGUACAAAUUUUGGGUAUUUAAGUUAAAAGCAUCCUAGUGUUGUUAGAGGAUGUGUUCCAGGUUAACAGCAUACACAUGCCCUCUCAAUAGUUACCACCUUCACUAUUGUAAGGGUUUUGAAUUUUAGGUUUACCGUAAAUUCAAAAGCUCAUAAUUUUAGCAUAAAUAUGUGACGUCUGAAAGCAACCCUCACAAUACAUAAACAGUUGUGUAUGUUUGGUUUAUUGCAAUAUUUUUAAUAAAAUUUGAAAAUAUUUGAUUGAAA
Non-coding RNA from Bactrocera oleae (olive fruit fly), 372 nucleotides. Lineage: Eukaryota; Metazoa; Arthropoda; Insecta; Diptera; Tephritidae. The record is from RefSeq and is a predicted model, not a curated record.